Molecule: ribosomal RNA, 497 nt
Filed under: uncultured bacterium
Lineage: Bacteria
Description: partial 16S ribosomal RNA
Rfam family: Bacterial small subunit ribosomal RNA
Source: RNAcentral
GAUGAACGCUGGCGGCGUGCCUAAUACAUGCAAGUCGAGCGAACAGAUGAGGCGCUUGCUCCUUUGACGUUAGCGGCGGACGGGUAAGUAACACGAGGGUAACCUACCUAUAAGAAUGGCAUAACUCCGGGAAACCGGGGAUAACGCAGGAUAACAUUUAGAACCGCAUGGUUCUAAAGUGAAAGAUGGUUCUGCUAUCACUUAUAGAUGGAACCGCGCCGUAUUAGCUAGUUGGUAAGGUAACGGCGUACCAAGGCAACGAUACGUAGCCGACCUGAGAGGGUGAUCGGCCACACUGGAACUGAGACACGGUCCAGACUCCUACGGGAGGCAGCAGUGGGGAAUCUUGCACAAUGGGCGAAAGCCUGACGCAGCAACGCCGCGUGUGUGAUGAAGGUCUUCGGAUCGUAAAACUCUGUUAGUAGGGAAGAACAAAUGUGUGUUUAUCUGUUGACGUCUUGACGUUACCUAAACAAAAAGCCACGGCUAACUACGUG